AACAGCAAUAAUGUUCAGCAAAGAAAGAUUUACAAAUAAGUCAACAUGACGGAAAUGGUCAGUUGACCCCUUUAGGAGUUAUUGCCCUUUAUAGUCAAUUUUUAACCAUUUUUCGUAAAUCUUAGUAAUCUUUUACAAAAAUCUUCUCCUCUAAAACUACUGGGCCAAAUACUUCCAAACUUUAACUGAAUGUUCCUUAGGGUAUCUAGUUUGU
This 214-nucleotide long non-coding RNA is filed under the name Mytilus galloprovincialis (Mediterranean mussel). The record is from RNAcentral. Lineage: Eukaryota; Metazoa; Mollusca; Bivalvia; Mytilida; Mytilidae.